AUACGGAGGAUCCGAGCGUUAUCCGGAUUUAUUGGGUUUAAAGGGUGCGCAGGCGGGAGAUUAAGUCGGCGGUGAAAUUUUGCAGCUCAACUGUAAAAGUGCCUUCGAAACUGGUUUCCUUGAGUGUAGAUGAAGUAGGCGGAAUUUGUGGUGUAGCGGUGAAAUGCAGAGAUAUCACGAGGAACUCCGAUUGCGCAGGCAGCUUUCUAAACUACUACUGACGCUCAGGCACGAAGGCGUUGUGAUCAAACAGGAUUAGAUACCCUGGUAGUCCACGCAGUAAACGAUGAUUACUAGCUGUUUGCUAUACAAUGUAAGCGGCUGAGCGAAAGCGUUAAGUAAUCCACCUGGGGAGUACGUUCGCAAGAAUGAAACUCAAAGGAAUUGACGGGG
This 393-nucleotide ribosomal RNA is filed under the name uncultured bacterium. RNAcentral's name for it is "partial 16S ribosomal RNA". It matches the Rfam family "Bacterial small subunit ribosomal RNA", at positions 523 to 918 of the family's 1533-position model. The record is from RNAcentral.